UGUGGGCACUAGUGAAGAGCAACGUAUUAAAGUUUGGGGGAGCAAACGGCUUGUGUUGUCUGACUCUUGCCAGAAAAACCUAAGGUAAGAGUCUGAUUAGAGCUUCCUCUCUGGCCAUGGAAGGAACAGUGUGAGCUUCUAGCUUUCAGUGGAGCCAGGAUACUGGCUUUCCCAAGAUCAGCCUUGAGUCACCUCAAAGGAACCUGCCCAGGAGGACUCACUGUGUCACCAUGCCCAUUCUGAAUAGCAGGGUGAGAUGGCUCCAAUGGAAAGAAGCUUGAAUGUGUCUUCAAAUGCUGAAGAUGAGUGAGUGUCACAUGGAAGGUGGACUCACUGUGCCAAUACUAAGAAGAGCAGUGUCUCUAGACACCCCACUGAGAUGCCCAAGGAGGAAGAGAGCGAGCAUGUGGGCCAUGCAUGGAGCCAACCCCAGACACAUCACCAAUAGAAGGCAUUGUCCUUUUCUUCUAUUCAUUCCUUGGUCUCUGGGGAGACCAAAAUAGAAAGAAAAGAAACUAUCAUGUCACCCUUCCCUCUACAGGGAAUGCAGAAUCUCAUCACCUGCAACCCACCACACUGCAAGAUCCUCCCUCCAACCUAUGAGUGCUAUUCCUGGGCAUGCAGCAAGAUCAUAUUUCCCAACAGCCCUUGAGGUGAAGCUGGCUUCCAAUGCCCAACUUCUGGGCAAUGGGAUAUAGGUGAGAAUGAUAGGGGGACAUUUCCAGGCCUUGCCAUAAAGUUCCCUCACUAUUCUCCCUCUCCUCCCAGGGUGGUCAUGGAAGACACAGGUUGAAGAUGGCAGAGCCACAAGAUGGAAGGAGCCUGGAUCUCUGAGUCACUACUCAGAAGUGAACUGCCCUACCCACUGUGGACAUAGAGUAGCAUUUCGUGGUGUGGACAUACCACAUCUUGCUUAGCCAUCGCUGCAAGACAUUUUGGUCAUUUCCACUGUUGGAACAAAGAGAGUUAAGGAAAGAAAGCCACCAUGAACAACCAUACCCAGGUUCUCUGUGGACAUGCUUCAUUUUUCUGAGAUAAAUGCCCAGGAAUGUGAUUGCUGAGUUGCACAGAUAAAAAACAACAACAACCACAACUUUGCUUAGCAUCUGUUAGCCUUCCUCACCCACCUUGAAGAAAAGGGAAAUUUAUCCAGAAGUAAUAGAUCCAAAGAUGGCAGAGGUGAACCAGGCCCUCAUGGCUACCCACCUGCUUUGUGCUUUUUCAGAGGCUAAUCCUUGUGUUUAAAGAAGAUAUUCUGCCUUGAUUAAAACCAUUGGCUUUAAUCGGAGUCACAGCAGAAUCCAUGGUAAAUGCAAACAUGCUUGAGUUCCAAUGCUGUGCAAGAAGAGAGAAAAAGAAAGGACACCAAAAAAUGUAUUCUUCUCUUUGGAGUUAAAGAGAGGCCCACAUCCUGAGAGAUUCGCUGAGGACUCUUCUAUAAAUAUCGAGUGUAACCGCAUCUGCCUCUUCUGGAACUGGGAACAGUAAGCUUGUAUUUCAACAAGCUUUCCAGGAAUUUGAUAGUGGUGAUACAUUAACCGAUAAAUAAGAAGCCACGGGCACAGCCACUGUCCCUGAAGAAGCAUAAAAUUAAAAGCUUAAGGAAUUAUGGAAAAUUAUUAUUUCACUAAUGUUAAUGGGGAGGGUGGAGGGGAGCCAUCCUGUCCCCUCCACAUUGUAUGUGCUUUUUCCAGCUGAUGACCAAUGAGGGCUUCAUUUGCGACUUCCUUCCAUGUGAAGACCUCUGGAGGGGCCCGGAGGAAUAGUCAAAACAUUUAUCAGACUUGGCUUCUGCCCCCAAAAAGCCUGACCAGGGGAGCUUCUUCUAGUAUAUCCAUCAAAAGGAGUAAACCACUUGCAGAGCCAAGUGUUACCAUGGGGCCUUUGACUGCCCCACAGUAGAGAGUGAAGAGGGGCCUGGGGCUGGGGGGCAGGGAAGUUGAGGACGACAGUUGGUUUUGAGAGAAAGGUCAGGUAGGCAAGUCACUUGAACUGAGGUCUAAGUGAAAAGGAAGGAAAUGGGACCAACAGGUAACCUAUAAGAGACAGAGUCCUCUCAAAUACUUUUAUCUCAUCUGGUCCCCAGCCAGUGUUCUGGGUUGAUACUAACUUACCAGUUUUAUAACAAGGAAAUGGACACCAAGAGCCCAGAGGUCAAAAACUGCUGAGACUUGAACCCAGUUAUGGCAAGCACUUCCCGCUUGAUCAUGCUGUGUCUCUGGAAGCACAGAAGUUGAGAGCAUCAGAAAUACAAGGUCUCAGAGAUAAAAAGACAGAGCCUCUGGGGAAAAGCUAUCGGGGAGGGAGGAGGGUGGAUAGAGAAUCUCUCAGACAGGAAAGUGCCAGGUAGAAAAUACCCUUUGUAAGAAAGAGAAGGCAAAGAGGGGCAAGAUAUUAGGGUUUUUUAGUUGAUUUUUUGUUUUAUUUCUGGAUAUGUGUUAAUUUUUACCUAUAUCUUGUAAGGCCCUAUAAUAAGGACUUAAUUUUUAAAAAUUGCACAGUGGAAGUUAUCAUUUGGAAACCUUUUAUUGCUUGUCUUAUGUAUAUGGGCUCAAUAUACAGGCAAUUCUCCAUAAUGAGAGAUAAACCGACAACUUCAUUUUCAGCCUUGAGUUACAUCGUCUGCUCCAUCUUUUGUUGUUAUUGUUUGUUUGGUGUUUGGUUUUUGAUAGACAGAGAGUAC
Long non-coding RNA from Canis lupus familiaris (dog), 2683 nucleotides. RefSeq lists it as uncharacterized. The record is from RefSeq and is a predicted model, not a curated record. NCBI's taxonomy places the organism in Eukaryota, Metazoa, Chordata, Mammalia, Carnivora, Canidae. The transcript is spliced from 5 exons.